GCCCUGCUAGCUCAAUCGGUAGAGCGUGAGACUUUUACGAUCAAAGACCGUGAGCCUCAUUCAUCGUUGUCAAAUUAGUACUUAAUUUGGGGAUCUCAAGGCUGCGGGUUCGAGCCCCGCGUGGGGCU
Non-coding RNA from Ceratobasidium sp. 428, 128 nucleotides. Lineage: Eukaryota; Fungi; Basidiomycota; Agaricomycetes; Cantharellales; Ceratobasidiaceae. The record is from the annotation of a GenBank genome assembly.